RNAcentral lists this ribosomal RNA (492 nucleotides) under uncultured bacterium. RNAcentral's name for it is "bacterial SSU rRNA". It matches the Rfam family "Bacterial small subunit ribosomal RNA", at positions 28 to 509 of the family's 1533-position model. The record is from RNAcentral.
GACGAACGCUGGCGGCGUGGAUUAGGCAUGCAAGUCGAACGGUAGGAUACCUUCGGGUAUCUGAGAGUGGCGAACGGGUGAGUAACACGUAGGUGAUCUACCCUCAAGAUUGGGACAACCCAGGGAAACUUGGGCUAAUACCGGAUGAAAGCAGCAGUGAUGUUGUUUGAAAGGUGGCGUAAGCUGCCGUUUGGGGAUGAGCCUGCGCUCUAUUAGUUAGUUGGCGGGGUAAAGGCCCACCAAGGCGAUGAUAGAUAGGCGGCCUUAACGGGUGGUCGCCCACACUGGGAUUGAGAUACGGCCCAGACUCCUACGGGAGGCAGCAGUCGAGAAUAGUCUACAAUGGCCGAAAGGCUGAUAGUGCGACGCCGCGUGAACGAAGAAGCCCUUCGGGGUGUAAAGUUCUUUUAUAUGUGAGCAGUGCUUUCUAUGUGAACAGCAUGGGGAGAGAGAUAUUAGCAUAUGAAUAAGCAAACGGCUAAACUCCGUGCC